This 253-nucleotide ribosomal RNA is filed under the name uncultured bacterium. RNAcentral's name for it is "partial 16S ribosomal RNA". It matches the Rfam family "Bacterial small subunit ribosomal RNA", at positions 524 to 776 of the family's 1533-position model. The record is from RNAcentral.
UACGGAGGAUCCAAGCGUUAUCCGGAUUUAUUGGGUUUAAAGGGUGCGUAGGCGGAAUGAUAAGUCAGUGGUGAAAGCCUACAGCUUAACUGUAGAAUUGCCGUUGAUACUGUUGUUCUUGAGUAUAUUUGAUGUGGGCGGAAUGUGUCAUGUAGCGGUGAAAUGCUUAGAUAUGACACAGAACACCGAUUGCGAAGGCAGCUCACAAAACUAUAACUGACGCUGAGGCACGAAAGCGUGGGGAUCAAACAGG